GCCGGGGUGGCGAAAUGGCAGACGCAAGGGACUUAAAAUCCCUUGGGAGUAACCUCCCGUGCGGGUUCGAGUCCCGCCCCCGGCA
This 85-nucleotide transfer RNA is filed under the name Gemmatimonadota bacterium. RNAcentral's name for it is "tRNA-Leu". It matches the Rfam family "tRNA". From Rfam's summary of the family: Transfer RNA (tRNA) molecules are approximately 80 nucleotides in length. Their secondary structure includes four short double-helical elements and three loops (D, anti-codon, and T loops). The record is from RNAcentral. Lineage: Bacteria; Pseudomonadati; Gemmatimonadota.